RNAcentral lists this ribosomal RNA (433 nucleotides) under uncultured bacterium. RNAcentral's name for it is "partial 16S ribosomal RNA". It matches the Rfam family "Bacterial small subunit ribosomal RNA", at positions 29 to 507 of the family's 1533-position model. The record is from RNAcentral.
AACGAACGCUGGCGGCAUGCCUAACACAUGCAAGUCGAACGAGACCUUCGGGUCUAGUGGCGCACGGGUGCGUAACGCGUGGGAACCUGCCCUUAGGUUCGGAAUAACUCCCCGAAAGGGGUGCUAAUACCGGAUAAUGUCUUCGGACCAAAGAUUUAUCGCCUUUGGAUGGGCCCGCGUUGGAUUAGCUAGUUGGUAGGGUAAAAGCCUACCAAGGCGACGAUCCAUAGCUGGUCUGAGAGGAUGAUCAGCCACACUGGGACUGAGACACGGCCCAGACUCCUACGGGAGGCAGCAGUGGGGAAUAGUGGACAAUGGGCGAAAGCCUGAUCCAGCAAUGCCGCGUGAGUGAUGAAGGCCUUAGGGUUGUAAAGCGCUUUUACCCGGGAUGAUAAUGACAGUACCGGGAGAAUAAGCUCCGGCUAACUCCGUG